GACGAACGCUGGCGGCGUGCUUAACACAUGCAAGUCGAACGGAAAGGCCCUGCUUUUGUGGGGUGCUCGAGUGGCGAACGGGUGAGUAACACGUGAGUAACCUGCCCUUGACUUUGGGAUAACUUCAGGAAACUGGGGCUAAUACCGGAUAGGAGCUCCUGCUGCAUGGUGGGGGUUGGAGAGUUUCGGCGGUUGGGGAUGGACUCGCGGCUUAUCAGCUUGUUGGUGGGGUAGUGGCUUACCAAGGCUUUGACGGGUAGCCGGCCUGAGAGGGUGACCGGCCACAUUGGGACUGAGAUACGGCCCAGACUCCUACGGGAGGCAGCAGUGGGGAAUAUUGCACAAUGGGCGGAAGCCUGAUGCAGCAACGCCGCGUGCGGGAUGACGGCCUUCGGGUUGUAAACCGCUUUCGCCUGUGACGAAGCGUGAGUGACGGUAAUGGGUAAAGAAGCACCGGCUAACUACGUGCCAGCAGCCGCGGUGAUACGUAGGGUGCGAGCGUUGUCCGGAUUUAUUGGGCGUAAAGGGCUCGUAGGUGGUUGAUCGCGUCGGAAGUGUAAUCUUGGGGCUUAACCCUAAGCGUGCUUUCGAUACGGGUUGACUUGAGGAAGGUAGGGGAGAAUGGAAUUCCUGGUGGAGCGGUGGAAUGCGCAGAUAUCAGGAGGAACACCAGUGGCGAAGGCGGUUCUCUGGGCCUUUCCUGACGCUGAGGAGCGAAAGCGUGGGGAGCGAACAGGCUUAGAUACCCUGGUAGUCCACGCUGUAAACGGUGGGUACUAGGUGUGGGGUCCAUUCCACGGGUUCCGUGCCGUAGCUAACGCUUUAAGUACCCCGCCUGGGGAGUACGGCCGCAAGGCUAAAACUCAAAGGAAUUGACGGGGCCCCGCACAAGCGUCGGAGCAUGCGGAUUAAUUCGAUGCAACGCGUAGAACCUUACCUGGGUUUGACAUGGAUCGGGAGUGCUCAGAGAUGGGUGUGCCUCUUUUGGGGUCGGUUCACAGGUGGUGCAUGGCUGUCGUCAGCUCGUGUCGUGAGAUGUUGGGUUAAGUCCCGCAACGAGCGCAACCCUUGUUCACUGUUGCCAGCACGUUAUGGUGGGGACUCAGUGGAGACCGCCGGGGUCAACUCGGAGGAAGGUGGGGAUGACGUCAAGUCAUCAUGCCCCUUAUGUCCAGGGCUUCACGCAUGCUACAAUGGCUGGUACAGAGAGUGGCGAGCCUGUGAGGGUGAGCGAAUCUCGGAAAGCCGGUCUCAGUUCGGAUUGGGGUCUGCAACUCGACCUCAUGAAGUCGGAGUCGCUAGUAAUCGCAGAUCAGCAACGCUGCGGUGAAUACGUUCCCGGGGCU
Molecule: ribosomal RNA, 1346 nt
Filed under: uncultured bacterium
Lineage: Bacteria
Description: partial 16S ribosomal RNA
Rfam family: Bacterial small subunit ribosomal RNA
Source: RNAcentral